Molecule: non-coding RNA, 1651 nt
Organism: Thamnophis sirtalis
Lineage: Eukaryota; Metazoa; Chordata; Lepidosauria; Squamata; Natricidae
Source: RefSeq, a predicted model, not a curated record
GCAGGUUUGUUUCCAUUCAGUGGGUGCCUUGUGCUACACUGAUGAUUUCUGGGAUCUCAGCUCAGAAGCUGGUUGGUGAUGGCUGGCUUUUUCUUCUGGUCUCCCAUGUGGAGAACAUAGCGAGCUUGAAUCAUCUGGUGUGCUCUUCAAGCUGGAUCAUCAGUAGCUGAGUUUGAGGGUGGCAAGGAUCGAACUGUGUUACCGAGGUAGGAAAUCCUUCUUUUGUGGCAGGGGUGACUGCAUCACCUCGGGUGGUGAUUCCCUAGGGAUUUAAAUAGACACCCUCAACAGAAGGUCCUUCCUUCUAGCAUUAGUUCCGCCCUUCCACAAGCUUUUCCUUCCAGACACUCUCUCAUCCUUGCAGGUAGCUGUUGAGAGAUGACUUCUGUUUAUCUCUGCAUUAGCCAAUGGAAUUACCUGCCUUCUAGGAAGUUUCCAUUUUCAUAACUUCCUCGACAACUGAGCGUCAAAACACGUUGGAAAGCAAGUUUCAGGUGUCCUGGCAGAAAAUUCCAACCAACACUUGAAGCUCCGUUCUUUUUGGCCUCUGUCUUGAUUCUCCGAUGGGUCUCUGGAUUCUCUCUGACCUGAUUUUCAAGGUCUUUCAGCUCCCGAAAAGCCAUUAGUAGACACUCUUACCACCUGUUCCUUCUCUAAAUCCAAGGUGUUGAGAUGGGAAGGGUCCUUGCUGUUGAAUUUCUUGUUGCAUUCAUGAGGGCGAUAAGCAGUGAAGAGAGAGAUUCUUAAGAAACAUCUAAGGGGGUUUAGAUAAAGAGAGAAAGUUGGAGGGAUGCAUAGACUACAAGAAAGAAAGAAAAAAUGUGGCACGGACACAGCUUGAAUUUAGAAUUUAACCCAUCUCCAAGAAUGUCUACUAAAGUUGUACUAGCUUUUGCUAGUUGAAAAAAAAUGUACUGCAUAUUUCAAUGGUGGAGAUCACCUUACACCAAGGUGUAAGUUUGAACUGAAGCUUUUUUAGCCGAGCCUCAUUUGAUGACGUAAAUAAGAACCAAACUAGGAAGAAAACCGGCACCUUUGAGAAAUUUGAUGCUGUUGAAGAAAGAAAAGCAAAGGAGAAGUGAAACUAAACUUCCUAUCACGGGCAGUUGGCCGAAAGACACAACUUGGCAUGCAAAGGAUGUGACGAAGAGCAGCUGUGAAAAAUCUUGCUGGGAACCACGGGGAGAUGUGGCUCCUUCCCGUAGGCUAGAGUGACUCAUACAAAACUGGCUGUGAGCUCAGCACUUCCUGAAUCACAUGUGGAGCAGAGAUGGAGACAGAGGAAUUGAUCGGGGAAAAUCCCAGCAAGCAACAGAGCUGGAUGGACGUCAUCUUCUCCAAGCACCUGCUGCUCUUCUAGGAUGAGCAUCCGAAGAAGGAGAAGGGAGUUGUUUUCUUCCGUGGUUGGUGACACAGCUCCUGAACUCUUCAACGGCUUCAACUUUUGCAUGCCGAAGAGGCGUUCUCUGUGGAAUUGAAGUAGCAGUGUCAACAUCUCAAGAUGGGUGGCUACCAAGAAAGCAGAGAAGAUGCGAGAAAGAAGCUGUACAAGAAGCAAAGGCCAGCAAGGGGACAUUUAACGGAUACAGAAGGGGACAUUCCUCCACUAUUCAGAUGGCCUCAUCCCAAGUUAUGACCAUGUGAAAGUUGU